GACGAACGCUGGCGGCGUGGAUUAGGCAUGCAAGUCGAACGGUAUCAUCCUUUCGGGGGUGAGAGAGUGGCGAACUGGUGAGUAACACGUAGGUUAUCUACCCUCAAGACGGGGACAACCCAGGGAAACUUGGGCUAAUACCGGAUGUGAGCUAACUUUUAGUUGUUUGAAAGGUGGCGUAAGCUGUCGCUUGGGGAUGAGCCUGCGUCCUAUUAGUUAGUUGGUGAGGUAACGGCUCACCUAGGCAAUGAUAGGUAGGCGGCCUUAACGGGUGGUCGCCCACACUGGGAUUGAGAUACGGCCCAGACUCCUACGGGAGGCAGCAGUCGAGAAUAGUCUAACAAUGGUCGGAAGACUGAUAGUGCGACGCCGCGUGAACGAUGAAUCCCUUCGGGUGUAAAGUUCUUUUAUAUGUGAGCAGUGCUUCUUAUAUUAACAGUAUGGGGAGAGAGAUAUUAGCAUAUGAAUAAGCAAACGGCUAACCUCCGUGCCAGCAGCCGACGGUAAAAUACC
This 513-nucleotide ribosomal RNA is filed under the name uncultured bacterium. RNAcentral's name for it is "bacterial SSU rRNA". It matches the Rfam family "Bacterial small subunit ribosomal RNA", at positions 28 to 527 of the family's 1533-position model. The record is from RNAcentral.